CCUACGGGAGGCAGCAGUGAGGAAUAUUGGUCAAUGGUCGGGAGACUGAACCAGCCAAGCCGCGUGAGGGAGGAAGGUACAGAGUAUCGUAAACCUCUUUUGUCAGGGAACAAAGACUGGGACGCGUCCCCGGAUGAGUGUACCUGAAGAAAGAGCAUCGGCUAACUCCGUGCCAGCAGCCGCGGUAAUACGGAGGAUGCGAGCGUUAUCCGGAUUUAUUGGGUUAAAGGGGUGCGCAGGCGGUCUGUUAAGUCAGCGGUCAAAGCCCGGGGUUCAACCCCGGCCCGCCGUUGAAACUGGCAGUCUCGAGUUGGAGAGAAGUAGGCGGAAUGCGCGGUGUAGCGGGGAAAUGCAUAGAUAUCGCGCAGAACUCCGAUUGCGAAGGCAGCAUGCCGGAUCCACACUGACGCUGAGACACGAAAGCGUGGGUAUCGAACAGGAUUAGAUACCCCAGUAGUC
Molecule: ribosomal RNA, 459 nt
Filed under: uncultured bacterium
Lineage: Bacteria
Description: partial 16S ribosomal RNA
Rfam family: Bacterial small subunit ribosomal RNA
Source: RNAcentral